Gadus morhua (Atlantic cod) is the source of this 408-nucleotide long non-coding RNA. RefSeq lists it as uncharacterized. The transcript is spliced from 3 exons. The record is from RefSeq and is a predicted model, not a curated record. Lineage: Eukaryota; Metazoa; Chordata; Actinopteri; Gadiformes; Gadidae.
GUUUUGACCAACGGCCUGGCCUGCAAGUUCAAUUGGGCAGGAAAAACCUGCACACACACCUGAAGGGAUGCAAAGCAGCCCUUCAAAGACACAGCCCUGCAAGACUGCAUGUUUGUUGCUUCUCGGCAGUGUGACCGCAAACUCACACAGCAGGCCUUCAGCGACAUUGUGAAACAUUGGCUACGUUACGCCCCUUGGCGUGCAGGAGGCAUCAACAAAAAUGUCCUCUUCAUAUGGGCUAUGGCCCUUGUUGGUCUGUGAUUACACAUGUGAUUACACUAAUUCGCCUUUUCUUGUUGGUAUCUUUUGUGGUGAAGGCAAGCCAAAGAUUCUUUCAGUACCUUCAACAAUUUGAUUAUUUAAUUUGUUUUUUCUAAUAAAUGUUUUUAUCACUAAAAUCUAAAUGAA